GUAGUUAGCCGGGGCUUCCUCCUAAGCUACCGUCACUUCCUUCGUCACUUAGGACAGAGGUUUACAACCCGAAAGCCUUCUUCCCUCACGCGGCGUUGCUGGGUCAGGCUUGCGCCCAUUGCCCAAUAUUCCCCACUGCUGCCUCCCGUAGGAGUCUGGACCGUGUCUCAGUUCCAAUGUGGCCGAUCACCCUCUCAGGUCGGCUACCCAUCGUCGCCUUGGUGGGCCGUUACCUCACCAACUAGCUAAUGGGACGCGAACUCACCCCAAACCGGAUUGCUCCUUUUACCCCGUUGCCAUGCGACAUCGUGGUCUUAUGCGGUAUUAGCACCUGUUUCCAAGUGUUAUCCCCCUGUCUGGGACAGAUUGUUCACGCGUUACUCACCCGUCCGCCGCUAGAAUUAUCUCUGUGCAAGCACUUCCUUAAUCCCCGCUCGACUUGCAUGUGUUAAGCACGCCGCCAGCGUUCGUCCUGAGCCAGAAUCGAAACCCUCGUACGUACGUAGACGGGCGGUCGGUCGGACGGACGGCCGACUAG
RNAcentral lists this ribosomal RNA (538 nucleotides) under uncultured bacterium. Its description in RNAcentral is "partial 16S ribosomal RNA". The record is from RNAcentral.